Homalodisca vitripennis (glassy-winged sharpshooter) is the source of this 967-nucleotide long non-coding RNA. RefSeq lists it as uncharacterized. The record is from RefSeq and is a predicted model, not a curated record. Lineage: Eukaryota; Metazoa; Arthropoda; Insecta; Hemiptera; Cicadellidae. The transcript has 3 exons.
GUCGGGUAAACACGCAAGUGUAUAAAUUUUUCUCUGAUUGCGACCUCAGAUCAGGUGGGUCUACCCGCUGAAUUUAAGCAUAUUAUUAAGCGGUGGAAAAGAAACUAACAAGGAUUCCCUCAGUAGCUGCGAGCGAACCGGGAACAGCCCAGCACCGAAUCCCGCCGGCUGCGCCGGCCCGGAAAUGUGGUGUUCGGAAGGGCCCAACUAACCCGGUGUUCGGCGGCCAGUCCAAGUCCAUCUUGAAUGGGGCCACUGCCCGUAGAGGGUGCCAGGCCCGUAGGACGGUCGCCGGCGUCGGGUGGGUCUCUCCUUAGAGUCGGGUUGCUUGAGAGUGCAGCCCUAAGCAGAUGGUAAACUCCAUCUAAGGCUAAAUAUGACCACGAGAUCGAUAGAAAACAAGUACCAUGAGGGAAAGUUGAAAAGAACUUUGAAGAGAGAGUUCAAGAGUACGUGAAACCGUUCAGGGGUAAACGGAAAAGACUUUAAACACCGAAAGGGGAGAUCACGCUCUCUUGCAUGAGUCGGUUCCCGCGGGGUCAGAUGGCACCGUACGCCCGCACGGCGCAAGUCGUUGCGGGGUCGUUUCGGUGAUCACUCGGCGCUCGCGGGGGUUAUGCCGGCCGCGGUGGGCCGCACUUCUCCCUCAGUAGGAAAUCGCGACCCGUUGGACGGCGGUCGACGGCCUCGGCGGUAGCCCGGGACGCGGGAAAGCUUCUGCCGUACCGUGCUCCCGGACCCCGGGUCGCCCGACCGAUCGUCGGACAGUAUGGAACGCAGGUGUCGGACCGCCACCGUUUAUCGGGCGUCCGGGCCGGCCGCAAGCUUGAGCGCACCAGGAUGACGGUACUUGUGCCCGGCUCUUCGGUGCGCCAAACUGUUGGCGGCCGUGUCUUCGGACGGGUCUUGUAACACCGGUCAGCGAUGUCCGUUUAAGGUACUUAUCCGACCCGAGAUCGGAAGAAAG